AUGGGGGGGAGCGGAGGAAGUCAGUUAAUCGGGCAUCUGCUCCCCAUCAGGCCGGCAGCAGGGGGGGAAGACACGGGGAGCGAGCCGCGGCCUCACCAGCCUCUUCGAAAUAACCACGUUUGCAAAACCGGGAGCUUUUCACGCGGCCCAGGCCGGAGCUCCGCGGCACAGCUCUGCUUGCGUGCCUGGCUUGCUGCAGCCUUUCCCCCUUCUCUUGCAGACGGCAGCUCGGAGGCGGCGCUGGGUCCCGCGCGCCCAGGCGCUCUCGCCGCGGAUGCUCCCGCCGGCAGCGCGGCCGCCGGGCAGCACGUCCCCGCCACGGCACCCCAGCUCCUCCCGGCGGAGAGCGCCCGGCACGGGCACAGCGACGUCCCGCCGGCGCCCACCACCGCCGCCGAUGCAAAGCCAGCUCCCCCCGGGAAGAAGAAGCCGCCAGCUGUAAAGCAAGUCAAUGCAGCCAGGAAGCACCCGAGGCCCAAACCCACAGUGCCGGGGCCACCCGCAGCCACUGCGCCGCCCAGCCCGGGGCCGCCGACCUCCCCGGAUGAGCCGCGGGCGCCGGUGGAUGCUGCGGCUGGGGCGGGCAGCGUGAAGGCAACCCCGUCUGAGCCACCGCGGGGGGACGGCGGCUCCACCGGCGAGGCCACCACCAGCCCCGCGGUGCUGCAGAUCUCCCCGUCCGCACCGGCCCCGGCGGUCCCCGGGGGCGCGGGAGCCGCGGAGCCGGUGACACCCAGCAGCGCCACCGCCCUUAACAGGACGAGCGGCRCGGAGAGCGGGACGAACGGCUCCGCGUGGGACGAGAGCCAGGAGACCACCACGUCCACCAUCGUGACCACCACGGUGAUAAGCACCGAGCCCACCCCAGGUAGGGCUGCUCCUGCCGGGACACUCGCGCGCAAGCUGGGGAGGGGGCAGGGCUGGGCAGCCGGGGGGGCUCGCUGGGAUAGCUGGGAACAGCUCGUGCUGGAAGCAGUGCCGGCCUGCACCAUCGGCAUUUCUGGGGCAUCCCAAAUCCGCAUCUCAGAGGUGCCAGAGCAGGAGGUCACGGUCCGCGACACGGGACAUGUCCCUGCCCUCUCACUGCCCAUUCCCUGCUCCUGCCAGCCUUUUUCCCUGGAYGCGCUGCAGAAGCCAUCCUGCAGAAACGUCCCUGGAUUUCGGGUGAAAAGCGCCGUUUCCUCGGCCACAUUUCUCCGCCCAAAGACAGAGGUGGAGAGGGUGGAGGCCGCCCGCCCGGUGCGCCGGCAGCCCGGUCGCGGCUGA
RNAcentral lists this long non-coding RNA (1266 nucleotides) under Apteryx haastii (Great spotted kiwi). RNAcentral's name for it is "lncRNA (ENSAHAG00000012943.1)". The record is from RNAcentral. Lineage: Eukaryota; Metazoa; Chordata; Aves; Apterygiformes; Apterygidae.